RNAcentral lists this ribosomal RNA (484 nucleotides) under uncultured bacterium. RNAcentral's name for it is "partial 16S ribosomal RNA". It matches the Rfam family "Bacterial small subunit ribosomal RNA", at positions 30 to 507 of the family's 1533-position model. The record is from RNAcentral.
AUUGAACGCUGGCGGCAGGCCUAACACAUGCAAGUCGAGCGGAUGAAGGGAGCUUGCUCCUGGAUUCAGCUGCGGACGGGUGAGUAAUGCCUAGGAAUCUGCCUGGUAGUGGGGGAUAACGUCCGGAAACGGGCGCUAAUACCGCAUACGUCCUGAGGGAGAAAGUGGGGGAUCUUCGGACCUCACGCUAUCAGAUGAGCCUAGGUCGGAUUAGCUAGUUGGUGGGGUAAAGGCCUACCAAGGCGACGAUCCGUAACUGGUCUGAGAGGAUGAUCAGUCACACUGGAACUGAGACACGGUCCAGACUCCUACGGGAGGCAGCAGUGGGGAAUAUUGGACAAUGGGCGCAAGCCUGAUCCAGCCAUGCCGCGUGUGUGAAGAAGGUCUUCGGAUUGUAAAGCACUUUAAGUUGGGAGGAAGGGCAGUAAGUUAAUACCUUGCUGUUUUGACGUUACCAACAGAAUAAGCACCGGCUAACUUCGUG